This 28-nucleotide non-coding RNA is filed under the name Mus musculus (house mouse). Lineage: Eukaryota; Metazoa; Chordata; Mammalia; Rodentia; Muridae. The record is from RNAcentral.
UNUUCAGGGAAUUACAGCAUGCUGCUUU